UUGGUAAUCAAUCUCAUGAUUUUCCGAUAAUCAUGGGCUUCUUCAAUGAGACAUAUCCCAUGCAUGAAGGAAAAAUCUUCAGUUCCAACAAUAACAUUCAGGAUAAUGCCUAAAAGUUUAUUAAGGGACAAGACACAAUCUAAGGUCAACAAAGGCCAUUACAAGAUCAUAAUGACUUAAUAUUAAAUAAAAUAAAAAAUAGAAAGAAACAGACCUGCCAUAUUCAUCUACAAGCAUG
Molecule: unclassified non-coding RNA, 238 nt
Filed under: Hevea brasiliensis (rubber tree)
Lineage: Eukaryota; Viridiplantae; Streptophyta; Magnoliopsida; Malpighiales; Euphorbiaceae
Source: RNAcentral